AUGAAAUCACCAUGCUCUUGCAGUCAGGGUUUGUACAGGUUGGUGGGCUGGGUUUGCAUUGUCUUCUUUUGUGCCGGACUGCAGGAGCAGAAGAGGAAGCUGACCACGUGCCUCCGUUCACAUGCAAAGCCCUUCCAUGUCAGCGGGGUCAUGCUCCACGUGUUGUUCUGCCACUGCCUUUGGUUUCUCGACACUGCCUCGUGGACACAGGAAGAGCUUGCAGCUGGUGACGAACUCUCCAGGAGGUUCACAUGCCAUUUAGAAAGUGAGUUCAGUGCCUGGGGACUAAUCAAUGAUGAGAUUUUCCCACCUCGUCCUGACAGGAAUGACACACAGCUGAGAAGAUGGCAGUGGUGCUUUUCCUUUAGGGGAAGAAAGGAGGGCCCCCCGGAAACCUUCUCUCCUAUCUGAUUCAUGCUCAUUCAUAAUGCAGCAGGCUUGGGAGCUGUAAAUAACAUGCUAGUGCAAGAAGGCAAGCCAGUCAGGCAGUCUUAUAGAUCACUGCUCCAUCUGUCACACUGACACAAGGAUUCACGCUACUGAGGCCGGUGGCUCUUCACAGGGAGUUGAGAUGGCAAGAAGCAGAGGCAUCUCGGAGGAGAUGCCCAUUUUAGGGUUUGAUGAAAGUUGAGUGAAAUAAUGCUCAGUACAAUAGUCAGACACAGUAAGACUGAAUGCCGACCAUGUGACAGGCACUGUGACCAGCCCAAGGCAUCAAAUAUCAGAUCAAAUAAGAGGCUGGCAAGGGUGGACCUUAAGGACACAUUUACCCGGGAAGGCCCCUGGCAGGUGCUCAGUGCUGAGUACAAUGAACAGUAAAGGCAAGUUGAACGUCUGACGUUCCGAGACCUAGGAUGACCCAGGAGUCCAGUGGGAAAGUCCAAAGGGCAGCCACAAGCCAGCCUCCUUUUUCUCCUCUGCAUAGCCUAAGGAAACACUCCCUUGGAAUAACAGAAAAGACUAAAGAUUUCUCCAUUUUACAACCAAAAGAUAUUAAGCAAUAUGAAAGAAAUACUUCCCUGGACUUAAAGAAAAGACUAGAGAUGUGCUCAUUUUGUACCUAAAAGAGAUUGAGAUUCUCGGGAAAUUUUGGCCUGAGAUCCUGAACCAUCUGGCCAUGCCCUAAGCCUUUGCUGGCAGCAAGUAUGUUUCAAGCUCCUCUAAAAACGUGUCAGUCAAGCAUUGAUACAUUUACAGGGAGAGUGAGAAACAGUAUUAUUGAAUUUGGGAGACUAAGGCCUUAACUCUGACUUUUAAAGGCUCACUAGGAUUUCUUAUGGGCCUUGAGGCUUGGAUUAUUUUCAAAGGCGACCACUUUAAGCUGCACCCAGAGAGAAGCUCAAGUUGCAUAGCAUCGAGUUUCUGAGAAGGUUACUAACAGCUGUCCUCGAAAUAUACCACCUUCCCUGCCUCUUCCCUCCUUGGGAGGAGCUGUAUAAAACAGGAGCUGAGGCCCUAGGGGAGUUGGAGAACGUUCCUGAGAGAUUAUGGAUCUGGAGGGUUGCAUGCAUUUGCAGAAGCUCAAGGCCAUCUCUUUCCCACCCUUCUGUUUUGAAGAGCCAGGCCCUUCCACGUGGUCCUCAGCAGGGUAAUGGGGGUGGGUGAUGCAUCAGAAUAUCCUGGAUACAUUUUAAAAAAUAGAUUUGUCACCUCCACCACC
This 1660-nucleotide long non-coding RNA is filed under the name Macaca mulatta (Rhesus monkey). RNAcentral's name for it is "lncRNA (ENSMMUG00000051060.1)". The record is from RNAcentral. Lineage: Eukaryota; Metazoa; Chordata; Mammalia; Primates; Cercopithecidae.